AGAAUCAAAUCGAGUUUUCCAUCCCUAGAUGCUUUUUAUACGACCGUUUUUCAAUCAACUAAGACCGGUAGCUUUGUAUCCCUUGCAAUUAUUUUAGUACAAAAUAUAGUUCAUAUUUCUUUUGAUAUAUGUAUUAGUUCACUUUAAAGAUGGAUUUAGAAUUACCUUACAAAAGUGAAUACGCCAAAAGUGGUAGAGCCUCUUGUAAAAUGUGUAAAUGCCCAAUCGCUCAAGGCUGUCUUCGAUUAGCGGCAAUGGUCCAGUCCGCUUUUCAUGAUGGAAAACUGCCGCUGUGGUUUCAUGAAGGUUGUUUUUUU
Molecule: non-coding RNA, 317 nt
Organism: Bactrocera oleae (olive fruit fly)
Lineage: Eukaryota; Metazoa; Arthropoda; Insecta; Diptera; Tephritidae
Source: RefSeq, a predicted model, not a curated record